Molecule: ribosomal RNA, 415 nt
Filed under: Aquaspirillum sp. GWS1
Lineage: Bacteria; Pseudomonadati; Pseudomonadota; Betaproteobacteria; Neisseriales; Aquaspirillaceae
Description: bacterial SSU rRNA
Rfam family: Bacterial small subunit ribosomal RNA
Source: RNAcentral
CGCGAAAACCUUACCCACCUUUGACAUGUACGGAAGUUGCCAGAGAUGGCUUCGUGCUCGAAAGAGAGCCGUAACACAGGUGCUGCAUGGCUGUCGUCAGCUCGUGUCGUGAGAUGUUGGGUUAAGUCCCGCAACGAGCGCAACCCUUGCCAUUAGUUGCUACGAAAGGGCACUCUAAUGGGACUGCCGGUGACAAACCGGAGGAAGGUGGGGAUGACGUCAAGUCCUCAUGGCCCUUAUAGGUGGGGCUACACACGUCAUACAAUGGCUGGUACAGAGGGUUGCCAACCCGCGAGGGGGAGCUAAUCUCAUAAAACCAGUCGUAGUCCGGAUCGCAGUCUGCAACUCGACUGCGUGAAGUCGGAAUCGCUAGUAAUCGCGGAUCAGCUUGCCGCGGUGAAUACGUUCCCGGGCA